Non-coding RNA from Puccinia sorghi, 104 nucleotides. NCBI's taxonomy places the organism in Eukaryota, Fungi, Basidiomycota, Pucciniomycetes, Pucciniales, Pucciniaceae. The record is from the annotation of a GenBank genome assembly.
CCUGUCAUCGUCUAGUGGUUAGGACACCAGGUUCUGAUUGGAGGGCGCGAAGUUCCCCAAGCUGGAUUCUCCUGGUAACCCCGGUUCAAACCCGGGUGACAGGU